This 400-nucleotide unclassified non-coding RNA is filed under the name soil metagenome. RNAcentral describes it as "partial contains 5.8S ribosomal RNA, internal transcribed spacer 2, and large subunit ribosomal RNA". The stretch from base 1 to 122 matches the Rfam family "5.8S ribosomal RNA", at positions 35 to 154 of the family's 154-position model. The record is from RNAcentral.
GAUGAAGAACGUAGCGAAAUGCGAUACUUGGUGUGAAUUGCAGAAUCCCGUGAACCAUCGAGUCUUUGAACGCAAGUUGCGCCUCAAGCCAUUAGGUUGAGGGCACGUCUGCCUGGGCGUCACAUAUCGUUGCCUGAUGCCAGUUUCCUCGUGAUGGGUGACUGUGCAGGGCGAAUGAUGGCUGCCCGUGAGCAUUGUUGCCUCAUGGUUGGUUGAAAAUUGAGUCCUUGGUAGGGAGCGCCGUGAUAGAUGGUGGUUGAGUGACGAACGAGACCCAAUCAUGUGAGACCCCUACCGAAUUUGGCCUUCAUGACCCACAUGCGUCUUUGGAACGCUCAUGACGAGACCUCAGGUCAGGCGGGGCUACCCGCUGAGUUUAAGCAUAUCAAUAAGCGGAGGA